UCGGAAUAGCUCCUGGAAACGGGUGGUAAUGCCGAAUGUGCCCUUCGGGGGAAAGAUUUAUCGCCUUUAAGCGGCCCGCGUCUGAUUAGCUAGUUGGUGAGGUAAUGGCUCACCAAGGCGACGAUCAGUAGCUGGUCUGAGAGGAUGACCAGCCACAUUGGGACUGAGACACGGCCCAAACUCCUACGGGAGGCAGCAGUGGGGAAUCUUGCGCAAUGGGCGAAAGCCUGACGCAGCCAUGCCGCGUGAAUGAUGAAGGUCUUAGGAUUGUAAAAUUCUUUCACCGGGGACGAUAAUGACGGUACCCGGAGAAGAAGCCCCGGCUAACUUCGUGCCAGCAGCCGCGGUAAUACGAAGGGGGCUAGCGUUGCUCGGAAUUACUGGGCGUAAAGGGCGCGUAGGCGGAUCGUUAAGUCAGAGGUGAAAUCCCGGAGCUCAACUUCGGAACUGCCUUUGAUACUGGCGAUCUUGAGUGUGAGAGAGGUAUGUGGAACUCCGAGUGUAGAGGUGAAAUUCGUAGAUAUUCGGAAGAACACCAGUGGCGAAGGCGACAUACUGGCUCAUUACUGACGCUGAGGCGCGAAAGCGUGGGGAGCAAACAGGAUUAGAUACCUGGUAGUCCACGCCGUAAACGAUGA
RNAcentral lists this ribosomal RNA (638 nucleotides) under bacterium MS-AsV-54. Its description in RNAcentral is "bacterial SSU rRNA". It matches the Rfam family "Bacterial small subunit ribosomal RNA", at positions 138 to 812 of the family's 1533-position model. The record is from RNAcentral.